This 85-nucleotide microRNA precursor is filed under the name Branchiostoma floridae (Florida lancelet). RNAcentral describes it as "mir-2060 microRNA precursor family". It matches the Rfam family "mir-2060 microRNA precursor family". Lineage: Eukaryota; Metazoa; Chordata; Leptocardii; Amphioxiformes; Branchiostomatidae. The record is from Rfam by way of RNAcentral.
GUUUCAAAUGGAUGGUGUUCAGCACCAGGGACAGGAUUGUUUGUGUGUAGAUGGUGUUCAACACCAAGAACUGGCGUGUACGAAU